RNAcentral lists this ribosomal RNA (2771 nucleotides) under Vibrio cholerae. RNAcentral describes it as "bacterial LSU rRNA". It matches the Rfam family "Bacterial large subunit ribosomal RNA". Lineage: Bacteria; Pseudomonadati; Pseudomonadota; Gammaproteobacteria; Vibrionales; Vibrionaceae. The record is from RNAcentral.
UAAGUGACUAAGCGUACACGGUGGAUGCCUGGGCAGUCAGAGGCGAUGAAGGACGUACUAACUUGCGAUAAGCGCAGAUAAGGCAGUAAGAGCCGUUUGAGUCUGCGAUUUCCGAAUGGGGAAACCCAACUGCAUAAGCAGUUACUGUUAACUGAAUACAUAGGUUAACAGAGCAAACCGGGGGAACUGAAACAUCUAAGUACCCCGAGGAGAAGAAAUCAACCGAGAUUCCGGUAGUAGCGGCGAGCGAACCUGGAUUAGCCCUUAAGCACUCGGUGAAGUAGGUGAACAAGCUGGAAAGCUUGGCGAUACAGGGUGAUAGCCCCGUAACCGACGCUUCAUCGAGCGUGAAAUCGAGUAGGGCGGGACACGUGAUAUCCUGUCUGAAUAUGGGGGGACCAUCCUCCAAGGCUAAAUACUCCUGACUGACCGAUAGUGAACCAGUACCGUGAGGGAAAGGCGAAAAGAACCCCUGUGAGGGGAGUGAAAUAGAACCUGAAACCGUGUACGUACAAGCAGUAGGAGCACCUUCGUGGUGUGACUGCGUACCUUUUGUAUAAUGGGUCAGCGACUUAUAUUCAGUGGCAAGGUUAACCGUAUAGGGGAGCCGUAGCGAAAGCGAGUCUUAACUGGGCGCUCAGUCUCUGGAUAUAGACCCGAAACCGGGUGAUCUAGCCAUGGGCAGGUUGAAGGUUGAGUAACAUCAACUGGAGGACCGAACCGACUAAUGUUGAAAAAUUAGCGGAUGACUUGUGGCUAGGGGUGAAAGGCCAAUCAAACUCGGAGAUAGCUGGUUCUCCCCGAAAGCUAUUUAGGUAGCGCCUCGGACGAAUACUACUGGGGGUAGAGCACUGUUAAGGCUAGGGGGUCAUCCCGACUUACCAACCCUUUGCAAACUCCGAAUACCAGUAAGUACUAUCCGGGAGACACACGGCGGGUGCUAACGUCCGUCGUGGAGAGGGAAACAACCCAGACCGCCAGCUAAGGUCCCAAAGUAUUGCUAAGUGGGAAACGAUGUGGGAAGGCUCAGACAGCUAGGAUGUUGGCUUAGAAGCAGCCAUCAUUUAAAGAAAGCGUAAUAGCUCACUAGUCGAGUCGGCCUGCGCGGAAGAUGUAACGGGGCUAAGCAAUACACCGAAGCUGCGGCAAUAUCUUUUAGAUAUUGGGUAGGGGAGCGUUCUGUAAGCCGUUGAAGGUGAAUCGUAAGGUUUGCUGGAGGUAUCAGAAGUGCGAAUGCUGACAUGAGUAACGACAAAGGGGGUGAAAAACCUCCUCGCCGGAAGACCAAGGGUUCCUGUCCAACGUUAAUCGGGGCAGGGUGAGUCGACCCCUAAGGUGAGGCCGAAAGGCGUAAUCGAUGGGAAACGGGUUAAUAUUCCCGUACUUCUGACUAUUGCGAUGGGGGGACGGAGAAGGCUAGGUGGGCCAGGCGACGGUUGUCCUGGUUCAAGUGCGUAGGCUUGAGAGUUAGGUAAAUCCGGCUCUCUCUAAGGCUGAGACACGACGUCGAGCUGCUACGGCAGUGAAGUCAUUGAUGCCAUGCUUCCAGGAAAAGCCUCUAAGCUUCAGAUAGUCAGGAAUCGUACCCCAAACCGACACAGGUGGUCGGGUAGAGAAUACCAAGGCGCUUGAGAGAACUCGGGUGAAGGAACUAGGCAAAAUGGUACCGUAACUUCGGGAGAAGGUACGCUCUUGAUGGUGAAGUCCCUCGCGGAUGGAGCUGACGAGAGUCGCAGAUACCAGGUGGCUGCAACUGUUUAUUAAAAACACAGCACUGUGCAAAAUCGCAAGAUGACGUAUACGGUGUGACGCCUGCCCGGUGCCGGAAGGUUAAUUGAUGGGGUUAGCGCAAGCGAAGCUCUUGAUCGAAGCCCCGGUAAACGGCGGCCGUAACUAUAACGGUCCUAAGGUAGCGAAAUUCCUUGUCGGGUAAGUUCCGACCUGCACGAAUGGCGUAAUGAUGGCCACGCUGUCUCCACCCGAGACUCAGUGAAAUUGAAAUCGCUGUGAAGAUGCAGUGUACCCGCGGCUAGACGGAAAGACCCCGUGAACCUUUACUACAGCUUGGCACUGAACAUUGAACCUACAUGUGUAGGAUAGGUGGGAGGCUAUGAAGACGUGACGCCAGUUGCGUUGGAGCCGUCCUUGAAAUACCACCCUUGUAUGUUUGAUGUUCUAACUUAGACCCAUUAUCUGGGUUGAGGACAGUGCCUGGUGGGUAGUUUGACUGGGGCGGUCUCCUCCCAAAGAGUAACGGAGGAGCACGAAGGUGGGCUAAUCACGGUUGGACAUCGUGAGGUUAGUGCAAUGGCAUAAGCCCGCUUAACUGCGAGAAUGACGGUUCGAGCAGGUGCGAAAGCAGGUCAUAGUGAUCCGGUGGUUCUGUAUGGAAGGGCCAUCGCUCAACGGAUAAAAGGUACUCCGGGGAUAACAGGCUGAUACCGCCCAAGAGUUCAUAUCGACGGCGGUGUUUGGCACCUCGAUGUCGGCUCAUCACAUCCUGGGGCUGAAGUCGGUCCCAAGGGUAUGGCUGUUCGCCAUUUAAAGUGGUACGCGAGCUGGGUUUAGAACGUCGUGAGACAGUUCGGUCCCUAUCUGCCGUGGGCGUUGGAAGAUUGAAGGGGGCUGCUCCUAGUACGAGAGGACCGGAGUGGACGAACCUCUGGUGUUCGGGUUGUGUCGCCAGACGCAUUGCCCGGUAGCUAAGUUCGGAAUUGAUAAGCGCUGAAAGCAUCUAAGCGCGAAGCGAGCCCUGAGAUGAGUCUUCCCUG